RNAcentral lists this non-coding RNA (24 nucleotides) under Mus musculus (house mouse). The record is from RNAcentral. Lineage: Eukaryota; Metazoa; Chordata; Mammalia; Rodentia; Muridae.
UGUGAAGCUGGAUGUGUUAAGUCC